Molecule: ribosomal RNA, 446 nt
Filed under: uncultured prokaryote
Description: bacterial SSU rRNA
Rfam family: Bacterial small subunit ribosomal RNA
Source: RNAcentral
UCGAGAAUCUUCGGCAAUGGGCGCAAGCCUGACCGAGCGAUGCCGCGUGCGGGAUGAAGGCCUUCGGGUUGUAAACCGCUGUCAGUAGGGAGGAAAUGCUAUGGGGUACUCUCCAUAGUUUGACCUAUCUUCAGAGGAAGGACGGGCUAAGUUCGUGCCAGCAGCCGCGGUAAGACGAACCGUCCAAACGUUAUUCGGAAUCACUGGGCUUAAAGGGUGCGUAGGCGGCGCAGUAAGUUGGAUGUGAAAGCUCUCGGCUCAACCGAGGAAUUGCGUCCAAUACUGCUGUGCUAGAGGGAGACAGAGGUGAGCGGAACUCAGGGUGGAGCGGUGAAAUGCGUUGAUAUCCUGGGGAACACCGGUGGCGAAGGCGGCUCACUGGGUCUCUUCUGACGCUGAGGCACGAAAGCUAGGGUAGCGAACGGGAUUAGAUACCCCCGUAGUCC